RNAcentral lists this ribosomal RNA (253 nucleotides) under uncultured bacterium. Its description in RNAcentral is "partial 16S ribosomal RNA". It matches the Rfam family "Bacterial small subunit ribosomal RNA", at positions 524 to 776 of the family's 1533-position model. The record is from RNAcentral.
UACGAAGGGGGCUAGCGUUGUUCGGAUUUACUGGGCGUAAAGCGCACGUAGGCGGAUUGUUAAGUCAGGGGUGAAAUCCUGGAGCUCAACUCCAGAACUGCCUUUGAUACUGACGAUCUCGAGUCCGGGAGAGGUGAGUGGAACUGCGAGUGUAGAGGUGAAAUUCGUAGAUAUUCGCAAGAACACCAGUGGCGAAGGCGGCUCACUGGCCCGGUACUGACGCUGAGGCACGAAAGCGUGGGGAGCAAACAGG